This 439-nucleotide ribosomal RNA is filed under the name uncultured bacterium. Its description in RNAcentral is "partial 16S ribosomal RNA". It matches the Rfam family "Bacterial small subunit ribosomal RNA", at positions 339 to 795 of the family's 1533-position model. The record is from RNAcentral.
CUACGGGACGCAGCAGUGGGGAAUAUUGCACAAUGGAGGAAACUCUGAUGCAGCAACGCCGCGUGGAGGAUGACACUUUUCGGAGCGUAAACUCCUUUUAUAUAGGAAGAAGAUGACGGUACUAUAUGAAUGAGCGCCGGCUAACUCCGUGCCAGCAGCCGCGGUAAUACGGAGGGCGCAAGCGUUACUCGGAAUCACUGGGCGUAAAGAGCGUGUAGGCGGAUUAAAAAGUCAGAAGUGAAAUCCUAUAGCUUAACUAUAGAACUGCUUCUGAAACUCUUAAUCUAGAAUAUGGGAGAGGUAGAUGGAAUUUCUGGUGUAGGGGUAAAAUCCGUAGAGAUCAGAAGGAAUACCGAUUGCGAAGGCGAUCUACUAGAACAUUAUUGACGCUGAGACGCGAAAGCGUGGGGAGCAAACAGGAUUAGAUACCCUCGUAGUC